Molecule: long non-coding RNA, 7841 nt
Organism: Hypanus sabinus (Atlantic stingray)
Lineage: Eukaryota; Metazoa; Chordata; Chondrichthyes; Myliobatiformes; Dasyatidae
Exons: 3
Source: RefSeq, a predicted model, not a curated record
AGGCUGCUGAAUACUGUACCCGGAACGCACCCGGUUGCAGACGCUGCCCAACCAACCAAAAUUGGCAGUAUACAGGAGUUUCGAGUCUGAGAGAUGCUCGGGAAGCAACUUUGGGAACUUGCUGGAAGGCAUCAUGUAAAUGAUACACACUAUGACUUUAUGUAUCUCAGCAUCUAAGUCUCAAGCCUUACUCUCCAAUAAAAUUAUAUUGAAGGAGGUUCAAGAAAGAAGAAAUAAAAAUGGUAAAACAACCUCAAAUCCAGGUUCACUGAAAAUCCCAGGAAACUGUGAUACCAAUCUUGGUUUGUUGGUAUGUUGUCCCUGCUCACCAAGUUAAUCAAAUUUAGUUCUGAAUUUACUUAGUUUUCUUCAGUUAUUUUAGUUAUACAUUCAAAAUAAUAUUUCACUAUAAAGCUGGAGACCCUGUCAUAUUGUUGUAACAAAGGCAAAAUAAAUUAAUUUCAGAACCAUAAUUCAAACCAUUAGGAAUAUGAGAAAUCUUACCUGUGCGUUACUGCUUUGUUUCCAAAUCAACUGGGAACAGUCUCUCUAACCUGCAAAGCUGUAUCACCCACUCUCAUCAGCCAUGAAGCACCUGUACCUACUUAGUGGCAUUUGAAUAAACUGGUACAUUGUUUUAAAAUGUGCAAAACAAAAUGAAGUGAUGCAAUUAUUCAAUUUUAUUUCAAAACUCUUUAAAAAUCAACUGUAUGUUCUUGCAUGUGUGAAUUGUCUUGUAAUUAUCACAAAGAUAAACUCAGUGGAAGGUUGCAUUAACGCAUUAACUUCACAGCAUGUCUCCCUACAUUUUGAUCUAUCUUGAUUUUAUUUUUUCAGUGUGGCUACUAAUAAAUGUAUCAUGUGAGAAAUUGGAAGCAGCAGCCAAAGCCCAGAGUAAAUUAGCUUUGUAAAUACUGACUAUAUAUUGUUCAUCAUAUAUAACAACAGCUACUUGGUGUUCUGAAUCCAAUCAAAUUAGGAACUUCGUGGAAAAAAACUGUCAAAAUCUUAUUUUUAAACAAGUAGCAUUUUGAUUAGAAUUUACAUUCACUCAUGUGCUUACCUGUACUAAGUUUUGUAUUUCUUCACCUCAGGUUCACAUCAUUUAAACUUCUUAAUUUAAAAGUGUCGACAGGUGUUUUACAUAACUAAGGAAAGGUAUUAACUGUCAGCCUCCCAGCUGACAUCUGAUCAUUCUGUUUUGUUCCUUGUCCGCUCAGAAUUCUGCACAAAAUCAACACAUCAGCCAAAAUCUAAAUGAGACAGUUGACUAAUAUUUCCAUCUCCUGUAUAUUAUCCAAAUCACUUGAAGCAGAAAAGUGUCCUCAAUGUACCAGAAGCCUGCAGAAAUCUAAUCUCCGAGAAACUCAAUCUCCUACUCUGUACACUAUUGUCGACAACCUCAAGCAGCACGUUGCUUUAGGCAAGGCGAAGAUAUAAUUGAAUUUCUAAAAUAGCCAUCUGUCUACUCAUGCUUUUAAUUACUGAUAGGUUGUGCUUUAGGAUUAUAAAAUUUUAAAUGGCUUAACAUUGACAUUAAAAAUUGAGAUUGGUUCAAUUAGCCAUUAUUCUACAGAACCAAUCUCUUACAAGAAGUUCAGGUGGUGAAAAGACCAAACUACAAAUCUCUAUUUUAUUUGGCACUAGCACCUUAACAACCCCCCAUCGAUCUACCUAAUAAAUAUGGUAAGUUAUUUGUUUUUGCUGUAUCUUUCUUUUAAGAAGUGUUACUAUUGUACUAUUUAUUAAACUGUACACAGAUCCUAUUUGCUCACAUUAGCCUAUAUUCCUCAGCACCUUUCCUAUCCAAGUACCUGUCCAAAUAAUUUUUGAGCAUUGCACCUGUAUCUGCCUCAACCACCUCCUCUGAUAGCUUAUUCCAGAUAUUCACUACCUUCUGCAUAAACACAUUAACUCUCAGUCUCCUUUAAAUUUCUCUCCCUUUCAUCUUAAACCAGUACCCUCUAGAUUUACACUCUGUUUCCUGGGAAAAAGAUUCUAUCUAUCCAAUCUAUGGACCUCUUCAUUUAUAAAUUUAUAUAAGGUCAUGACUUGGUCUCCAAGGGUUCAGUAAGAAUAACCCUAGCCUGUCUGAUCUUUCCUUAUAACUACAGCCCUCUAUUCCGGGCAACAUGCCUGUGAGCCUCUUCUGCACUAUUACUACCACAUCCUUCCUGGAAUGUGGCAACCAGAAUUGUACAUAAUAUGUGGUCUAAUCAAUGUUUUGCAUAAAUGCAACAUUAUACUCAGUGCCUUGGCCUAUGAAAGCAAGCUUACCAAAUGCAUUCCUCUCUACCCUAUCCACCUGUAGCAGCACUUUCUGGGAGCUAUAAAAUUUGCACAUCAAGGUCCCUCUGUAUAUGAACACUGAGGCCUCUGCAAUUUCCUUUGGCUGCCCCAACAUAAUUUGACCUCUCAAAGUACCUUAUCUCCCAUAGGACAUGGGCAAGCAGCCCUUUUGAUGGUGACCAUUGGAGUCACUCACCCCGAGUACCCACUCCUGCAUUGGGCUUCCUACAUUACGUGUUACACUGUCAGAUCACAAUAAUGUAAAAGCUUGUGCUUACAACUGGAUUUAUUGUUACUCUCUUUCUCCACCAGGCUGAAUAAUAAAUCUCUGCAGCAGGGGUGCUGCAUGGCCUCAGUCAUAGUGAGUGCCAGGCCUCAGGUUGCCCAGUGCACUCUGCCAGGAUGCCGGGGCAGCCUGGCAUCCAAGCUGGAGUUGGUGCUACCACCAGUGUUUGCUUGGCAGAAGACAAGCUGAUAUUGUGUUUGACUGCAGACUGCUGCAGCAUUCAGUCUUGGACCAUAUUUUUUGUGUCUGUAAUUUACUUAUAUCUUAUAUGUGCCUUGUGCUGUGUAUGACUGUUAGUACUGUGCUUUGAACCUUGGUCCCAGAGUAACACUGUUCGGUUUGGCUGUAUUCAUGGGUAUUUAUGUAUGGAACAAUUAAACUUGAACUCCUGAUUACUGCAUUGCAUAGGAAAGUUUACAACAUGCAUUUCAGGCAAAACAAAUACAACUCUGUCAUCUCUGGUCUACAGAGUAUCAGUCAAGGAUAAUGCACAGUCUAAGUGAGGCAAUAUGAAGUCGACUAAAGAAUGCAGCCAUUCCAAAGGAUAGUUUUCAGUUGGGGUUCUCAAUUAUCAGUCAUUUAUGGCAGCUGGUUCUCAGCUUAGCAGUCAUGUUGAAGUGAAGCAUUCUGAGGAAAGGAUUUUGAUCUGCAACACCAACUCUUGUCUCUGCAGCCUGACUUGUUGAGCAAUUUCUGUUGGUAGUUAUUGAGACCAAGAAGAAAGAAGAAAGCCUUUAACUCCGAGUCGAGUCAUUGGGAUCGGGACGCCAUCAUGACAGCGUUCUUUUAGCAGGCUUUCUUAUUUUUACGAGGCCGAGUUGCUAGCUUGGCGCUCAACCCAGCACGGAUGGAGAGCGUGCAAGGGAGCCGGCUGGAUUCAAACUCGGGAGCCUUCACCCUGAAGUCCGGCGCUGAUGCCACUACACCACCAUCCAGCCUAACAGAGACCAAACUGGUGUGCAAUUUGUGGGUGCAUACAGGAUAACGUUGCACCCAGUAUCAAUUUUUAAUGUGGAAAAUUAAUGUCACUUUGAGAGUGAAUAAAAGUUGCUGUACAAACUAGAUUGAUGGUUUUGGCCAAGUUUGUGGACAAUAAGUGGUUGGCAGGUAGUGUUGAGGAAGUAGGGAGACUGCAGAAAGACUUUGGCAGAUUACAAGAAUAUGCAAAGAAGUGGCAGAUGGUAUAGUGUAAGGAAGUGUAUGGUCAUGCACUUUGGUAGAUGGAAUAAAGGCAUGGACUAGUUUUUUAAAUGGCGAGAAAAUUCAGAAAUGGGGAUGCAAAGGGACUUGGGAGUCUUUGUGCAGGAUUACUUAAAGAUUAGAUAGUAAGGAAGGCAAAUGCAAUAUUAGCAUUCAUUUUGAGAGGACGCGAAUAUAAAAGCAAGAAUGUAAUUCUGAGGCUUUAUAAGCAUUGGUCAGACUGCACUUGGAAUAUUGUGAGCAGUUUUGGGCCCCAUAAUCUAAGAAAGGAUGUGCUGGCAUUUGAAAGGGCCCAGAGGAGAUUCACGAGAAUAAUCCUGGAAUGAAAGGAUUAACAUAUGAAGAGCUUUUGAUGGCUCUGGACCUGUACUCACUGGAGUUUAGAAGAAUGAGGGGUAUCUCAUUGAAAUGUAUCAAAUAUUGAAAGCCUAGAUAGUGGAUGUGGAGAGGGCAUUUCUUAUAAUGGAUGAGGGGUAAGUCGAGGACCAGAGAGCACAACCUCAGAAUACAAGGACAUCCCUUCAGAAAAGAGAAGAGGAAUUUCUUUAACUAGAAUAUGGUGAAUCUGUGGAAUUCAUUUCCAUGGAUAUUGCAGAUGCCAAGUCAUUGGGGAGAGUUAAAGCAGAGGUUGAUAGGUUCUCGAUUAGCAAGGGUGUCAAAGGUUAAAUGGAGAUGGCAGGGGAAUGGGGUUGAGAGGGAUUAUAAAUCAGCCAUGAUGGAAUGGCAGAGCAGCUGCAAUGGGCUGAAUGGCCUAAUAUGUUUUACAGUGCAGAACACUAUCUGUAUGUGCAUUUAAUAGUAAAAAUUGUCCAAAAAUGUAGCUAUACUACUAUAGUAGCUACUACUAUACUAGUAGCUAUACUACAACACAUAAGCAUUACUAUUUCUCAAUUUUCUCAGAGUAUUUAAUUGCAGUUCAUUUUUAAGAAUUUCAGUUACUGAUCGUCAGUUCCAGUAAGGGUCUGAACCAUUUCAAAUGUUACAAGCAAUCUACAGUCAAUGCCAAACACACUAGUUAACCAGUGUCACAGAUGUUUGCUUUGUACAUCUUAUAAUGCAAUAUGGAAGCAACAUCUUACACUUUUAAAUUAAUAACAAAAGAAUAUAAUAUACUUUAAAUCUGAUAAUUACCAUAAAAUGAAAUAAAUUUAGGGAUUGCAAUGCAGAAUUUUAUGCUGUGGAUUGUAUUUUCAUAGUGCUGCCCUUCCACUUAUUAGGAAAUGAUUGGUUAUAAAGAAAAUCACCGCCAAGGUAAAAUAUUUCCAAAGAUAACAUUUUGAUAAAAAAGACAUGUAAUACAUUUUCCCUGAAACUGAAGCUCCCUCCAGUGGUAAGAUUGGACAUAAAGGAUACAAAAUAUUCAAUUCAAGAUCAUCCCUAAAAAGUUAAAGGUUCAAAGCAAAUUUAUUAUCAAAGUACAUGUACAACCUUGAGAUUCAUUUUCUUACAGGCAUACUCAAUAAAUUUAUAGCAUAAUAACCAUAACAGAAUCGAUUAUAGACCGCACUAACUUGGACAUUCGGUCAAUGAGUAAAAGUCAACAGACUGCAAACACAAAAUAAUAAGAAAUAAAUAAGCAAUAAACAUCAGUAACAUGAAAAGAAGAGUCUGUGAAAGUGAGUCCAUAGCUUGUGGGAACAUUUCAGGGCAAGUAGAGUGAAGUUAUCACCUUUGGUUCAAGAGCAUGAUGGCUGAGAGUAAUAACUGUUCCUAAACUUAGUGGUGUGAGUCCUAAGGUUCCUGAAGGUAGCAGUGAGAAGAGAGCAUGUCCUAGCUGAUGGGGGUCCUCAAUGAUGGAUGCUGCUUUCCUGCAACAGAGUUUCAUAUAAAUGUGCUCAACGGUGGGGAAAGCUUUGCCUAUGAUAGACUGGGCUGUAUCCACUACUUAUUGUAGGACUUUACAUUCAAGGGCAUUGGUGUUUCCAUACCAGACUGUGAUGCAGCUGGUCAAUAUACUCUCCACUACAUAUCUAUAGUGGAUGUGUAUUUGAAUGCACAUUCAAAUGAUUGUAUUCAAAUACUUUUAUUUGAAUACAAGUUCAAAUGUCAGGAAUGUUGAGUCUAUUAAGAACCAGCUAUCCAUAAUCACCAGUAACAGGGUUUUCUCACUACUUAAAGACAGGUUAUAAUUGGCAAAUCCAUUGCUUAUCUCCCAUCUCUGGCUAGUUAUUAACGAAUCCUCUUGAUCUGCUACACAAAGAAAUUAGGUGGAGUUGCAAGAUUUUUCCUGCAGGAAUAGGGUCUAGCAGUCUGUACUCCGAUGAUAAUGGCAAACAACUUGAAAGGGAAAUUGAAUGUAGUAGCCUUUAAGGCUUGCUGCCUACAGGUUGAUAAGAGUGCCCUUUGUAAUGCUACACCUUGGAAAUAUUUGCUUGAUGGCAGGGAGGGUGUUAAUGUUUAACCUGAUUAUCAUACUUCUUAUUGACAGCUGGAACUACACAUAGCCAGGGGAUUGCAGAGUACUUCCUCACACCUCUACUUUAUGAUGGUGAUGCCCCCAAGAUAUUCUGAAUGUUGAGUAACUCACACAGAAUUUAUAACCCUUGAUUCACACCUAGUGAAUUUGGUCAUAGUAUUAAGAAAGCUCUCCUCCUGUAAGCUGUAUGGAAGGGUGGGGGAGAGGGCAAGGUUGCAUAUCUUAGGGAGGCAGUUAGACUCUCUACUGGCAGAAAGUAAUACUUACUGGCACUUAGAAUAUUACAAUAUUUGAUACUAUUGAACUCAAGCAAUGUUAGCUAGAUGCUUUGAGAUUUACAAAUAGCAUAUUGUGGAAUUUUAAUUAUUGAAAAGGGAAGGUCAUUGAAUAAAGAACUGAAUGAUCAGACCUGAAAGACAGUUUGGGGAACUCUUGCAGCGACAGACUGGGACUAUAAUGAUCACCCUUCCCUUUUUCAGAUUUAAUGAGCAACUUCCAUAAAGCUGUUUGAUCUCAUUCACGUUUAUUUCAGGACAACUCCUCUUCACGUUGUGGCAGCACAAUUGGUCUGAUCCAUCAGCUUCUGAUGUUUAGGAUGCAACUAUCAUGUAUUAUGCUUUAGGUUACUAUCUUACUAUUUCUAUAUACAUCUGAUGCAGAAGUGCUGAAAUCACUUUAUGCCAAUGAGCAUUGGUAGGAAGGGAAACACUUCGAAUAGCUCGGGUGAAAGACCUUUAGUCAGAACUCUCCUACUGAGAUGGAAUGGGAGGAGAAAGAGAAAACAGAAGUAUAGAGGGAUAGGACAAGUAACAGGUAGAACAGAUAAAAGGGAAAUUAUGGAGGAAAGGUGAAGAAUGGGAAAGUUGUGGGGGGGGGGUGGAGUUGGAAUGGGAAGGGACAGAACAUACAAGAGUUUUAUUGAGGAUACGUGCUUUGUCUGCAAUGGCCACCUUGAGCUUCCACUUACAUGCCACUUCAUCCCACUUCCAUUCCCACACUGACCUGUCACUCCUUAGCUUUCCGCACAGAGGUGAAAUCCUAGCUACAAGAACACCACCUAAUUUCACUGUGUUCCUUACUACUCACUCCCAGUAAUCUUGGCUUCUCUCCCCUUUUGCUUAUUUUUUUUCUAUUUACCCCACUUGGUCUCAUCUGCCUGUCAUUUCCCUCUUCAUACUGCCCACCACCUCCAUUCUGCUAAGCUUCUGGAUUCUAGCCAUCUUUCCUCUUCUUCCCCUAUCCUGACCUGAGGCGUCAACUCCUUCCUCUUUUGCCUCUGCAAUGGCAUUAUAACGUCAAAAUCCAAAGGGAGAUAAUUAAACUAGAUCAUUUAUCUUUCCACAACUAUACAGAAAAGAAAUGGACUUGUGUAGGCCUAAUCAUUAACAACUUCUAAACUACUACUGAGCUUCCUUAUAUACAUGCCAUGCUAGUUCAUGAGUUAGAAACGAGUAGCAAUGACAUGACUAAAGAAUAUGGGCCCAACAUCAUGAACAGCAAAACUUUCCUUUCACCAUCCUGCUCUACCUCCCAGUGUCAUUGGAGCUUCUGUAUUCCCCAAAUCACAAGAGGAAAACAGAAGCUGUGUUUUGUCAAUGGAAACACUUCAAUUGAAAAAUAAGCUGUGUUCAAGAAUUUGAUGCAAGAAGA